RNAcentral lists this long non-coding RNA (521 nucleotides) under Hordeum vulgare. RNAcentral's name for it is "long non-coding RNA (HVUL_LNC020996)". The record is from RNAcentral. Lineage: Eukaryota; Viridiplantae; Streptophyta; Magnoliopsida; Poales; Poaceae.
AGCCGGGCGGCGGUUGCGCGGCAGGCGGAGGCGUCGCGCGAAGAGAAGGGGAUUGGCGCUGGGAAUUUGGGCGCGCGCGCGGAGGAGGGAGGAGGCGGGAGCGGUGGCCAUGGCGGCCGUCCGGAGGUCUCGCCCGCCCGGAUGAGAGCCUCAGGGUGCCCGGCCGCCUCGCUUAGGGGGCUGCGCCGCGGAGGAGGGGAGGGGAGGAGGUGGUGGUGACCAUGGAUGGAACGGGCCGAGUCGACGACGUGUAGGUGGCAGGUGGUGGUGGGAAAUUGAGUUACGGAAGAGUGGACGUGGUGAAGUGGAGAGGGAUGGCGACGUGGACUGCUCGGGGGAGGAGGAGGUCGCUAAUCUGCCUGUUAGAAAUUAAUUAGUAGAUUAAUUCAAGUGAUAUGUUCAACCCGAACAGUCGUGUCUCCUCUUUGUGUUUCUGGAGGGAUGCCUCCGAACAAACACUUCUUCUUCGCACAUCUUCCAGAUGUAUAUAUACUUAAGAAUCAAUAGAAAGAGGACUGCUG